This 553-nucleotide ribosomal RNA is filed under the name uncultured bacterium. RNAcentral's name for it is "bacterial SSU rRNA". It matches the Rfam family "Bacterial small subunit ribosomal RNA", at positions 355 to 896 of the family's 1533-position model. The record is from RNAcentral.
UAGGGAAUCUUCGGCCACUUGGACGGAAGUCUGACCGAGCAAACGCCGCGUGAGUGAAGAAGGUUUUCGGAUCGUAAAGCUCUGUUGUAAGAGAAGAACGAGUGUGAGAGUGGAAAGUUCACACUGUGACGGUAUCUUACCAGAAAGGGACGGCUAACUACGUGCCAGCAGCCGCGGUAAUACGUAGGUCCCGAGCGUUGUCCGGAUUUAUUGGGCGUAAAGCGAGCGCAGGCGGUUAGAUAAGUCUGAAGUUAAAGGCUGUGGCUUAACCAUAGUACGCUUUGGAAACUGUUUAACUUGAGUGCAAGAGGGGAGAGUGGAAUUCCAUGUGUAGCGGUGAAAUGCGUAGAUAUAUGGAGGAACACCGGUGGCGAAAGCGGCUCUCUGGCUUGUAACUGACGCUGAGGCUCGAAAGCGUGGGGAGCAAACAGGAUUAGAUACCCUGGUAGUCCACGCCGUAAACGAUGAGUGCUAGGUGUUAGACCCUUUCCGGGGUUUAGUGCCGCAGCUAACGCAUUAAGCACUCCGCCUGGGGAGUACGACCGCAAGGUUG